Molecule: ribosomal RNA, 496 nt
Filed under: uncultured bacterium
Lineage: Bacteria
Description: partial 16S ribosomal RNA
Rfam family: Bacterial small subunit ribosomal RNA
Source: RNAcentral
AUGAACGCUGGCGGCGUGCCUAAUACAUGCAAGUCGAGCGAACAGACGAGGAGCUUGCUCCUCUGACGUUAGCGGCGGACGGGUGAGUAACACGUGGAUAACCUACCUAUAAGACUGGGAUAACUUCGGGAAACCGGAGCUAAUACCGGAUAAUAUAUUGAACCGCAUGGUUCAAUAGUGAAAGACGGUUUUGCUGUCACUUAUAGAUGGAUCCGCGCCGCAUUAGCUAGUUGGUAAGGUAACGGCUUACCAAGGCAACGAUGCGUAGCCGACCUGAGAGGGUGAUCGGCCACACUGGAACUGAGACACGGUCCCGACUCCUAAGGGAGGCCGCAGUAGGGAAUCUUACGCAAUGGGCGAAAGCCUGAAGGAGCAACGCCGCGUGAGUGAUGAAGGUCUUCGGAUCGUAAAACUCUGUUAUUAGGGAAGAACAAAUGUGUAAGUAACUAUGCACGUCUUGACGGUACCUAAUCAGAAAGCCACGGCUAACUACGUG